This is a non-coding RNA of Potamilus streckersoni, 73 nucleotides long. NCBI's taxonomy places the organism in Eukaryota, Metazoa, Mollusca, Bivalvia, Unionida, Unionidae. The record is from the annotation of a GenBank genome assembly.
GCUCCUUUGGCCUAGAGGUUAGAGCAUCCGCCUCAGAUGCGGGAGGUCGUGGGUUAAAUCUCCGGCCGAGUCA